This 246-nucleotide long non-coding RNA is filed under the name Solanum tuberosum (potato). RNAcentral describes it as "long non-coding RNA (STUB_LNC009141)". The record is from RNAcentral. Lineage: Eukaryota; Viridiplantae; Streptophyta; Magnoliopsida; Solanales; Solanaceae.
GUCUUCUUCUUUUAUAUUUUCUAAUUUUUGUGUAAUUUUUUCACUUCCUUUUAUCCAUUCUGUUGUCUUUCGUUUUUUGUUAUUUACUCUUUUUGCUCCUAUUUUUUGUUUACACGGUGUUGUGAACCACCAGUGUGUUUUUGUUAUUAUAUGUGGGUAUAAUUUUUCUAAAAAUGGCAUUCCUAAUAACAUAUCUUUUGUAGUCAAUUCAAAGUUAUAUAUUUCUUCUAUAGUUAAUAUCUUAUC